RNAcentral lists this ribosomal RNA (551 nucleotides) under Calonarius sodagnitus. RNAcentral describes it as "eukaryotic LSU rRNA". The stretch from base 230 to 383 matches the Rfam family "5.8S ribosomal RNA". Lineage: Eukaryota; Fungi; Basidiomycota; Agaricomycetes; Agaricales; Cortinariaceae. The record is from RNAcentral.
GAUAAGUUGCUGCUGGUUCUCUAGGGAACAAUGUGCACACUUGUCAUCUUUGUAUCUUCACCUGUGCACCUUUUGUAGACCUGAUUAUCUCUCUGAAUGCUUUAUAGCACUCAGGAUUGAGGAUUGACUUCUUGUCUCUUCUUACAUUUUCAGGUCUAUGUUUCUUCAUAUACCCCAAUGUAUGUUUAUAGAAUGUAAUUAAUGGGCCUUUGUGCCUAUAAACCUUUACAACUUUCAGCAACGGAUCUCUUGGCUCUCGCAUCGAUGAAGAACGCAGCGAAAUGCGAUAAGUAAUGUGAAUUGCAGAAUUCAGUGAAUCAUCGAAUCUUUGAACGCACCUUGCGCUCCUUGGUAUUCCGAGGAGCAUGCCUGUUUGAGUGUCAUUAAUAUUAUCAACCUUUUGGGUUGGAUUUGGGUUUGCUGGCCUCUAUCAGGUCAGCUCCCCUUAAAUGCAUUAGCAGACAACAUUUUGCCAAAUGUUCAUUGGUGUGAUAAUUAUCUACGCUAUUGACGUGGAGCAAGGUUCAGCUUCUAACUGUCCAUUGACUUGG